This 445-nucleotide ribosomal RNA is filed under the name uncultured bacterium. RNAcentral's name for it is "bacterial SSU rRNA". It matches the Rfam family "Bacterial small subunit ribosomal RNA", at positions 331 to 792 of the family's 1533-position model. The record is from RNAcentral.
CCAGACUCCUACGGGAGGCAGCAGUGGGGAAUAUUGCACAAUGGGGGAAACCCUGAUGCAGCAACGCCGCGUGAGUGAGGAAGUAUUUCGGUAUGUAAAGCUCUAUCAGCAGGGAAUAGAAAAGAAGGUACCUGAAAAAGAAGCCCCGGCUAACUACGUGCCAGCAGCCGCGGUAAUACGUAGGGGGCAAGCGUUAUCCGGAUUUACUGGGUGUAAAGGGCGUGUAGGCGGGGACGCAAGUCAGAUGUGAAAACCACGGGCUCAACCUGUGGCCUGCAUUUGAAACUGUGUUUCUUGAGUACUGGAGAGGCAGACGGAAUUCCUAGUGUAGCGGUGAAAUGCGUAGAUAUUAGGAGGAACACCAGUGGCGAAGGCGGUCUGCUGGACAGCAACUGACGCUGAGGCGCGAAAGCGUGGGGAGCAAACAGGAUUAGAUACCCCAGUA